This 977-nucleotide long non-coding RNA is filed under the name Pongo abelii (Sumatran orangutan). RNAcentral's name for it is "lncRNA (ENSPPYG00000036557.1)". The record is from RNAcentral. Lineage: Eukaryota; Metazoa; Chordata; Mammalia; Primates; Hominidae.
CAGGGGUCCAUUUGUCUACCCCCAUCCCAGGGACACCCUGCCCUCUGGUGGCCAACUGGAGAAUACAUGCGGAGAAUGACAAAUUCCCUAACCCCCUGCACAGGUUAAGAGAUGAGACUCUCUAAUAAGACAAGCAGUCAGCCAGUGGGUCUAGGGAGGCGGUAAGUGCCCCACCACUGGAGGAAUCUGGGAUGAGACUAAAUUACAACCCUGGAUGCGACCCAAAAUAUGUAACAACAGAACUAUCCAAGCCCCAGACCAUCAGCAUGAGCCAUCUUCAACAGCCAGGACAGCUGAGGCUGGGCACCCCAACUAAUUGUUGUUGCUGUGACCACUCUCAGAGCGAGAUGAGUGCUAAUGUCCCUCUGCCUCGAAAGGUCUAUCACGGAGAAAAAUGAGGAAGCAAGCAGAAGCCUUGGGUCAGCAGCUGCAGGGGUCCCAGUGGCCCCAGGCAGCCAGCAUGUUCCUGGUUCCUGGGGGACCUGCCGAGAACCCAGGCCAUCUCCCAAGGGGAUAAGGCAGCAGGACCUCCACACCACAGCCAGUCCCUUUGACAGUCUCUCCUCCAGUCUGGUCCUUUAGAAAGACCCCCGACCCUUUAGCCCCUGAAGCAGCCAAGACAGAUCCACUGCAUGUCCCAGGUGAGGCCCAUGGAGGCCUGGAGCCAAGAUAUAGCAAAGAACCAGAAGGAGAGGCCAAGUAGAGGAGAUAUUUCCAAGGCUUGGUCAACAAGGCUUGGUGAUGAUCAGAUUGCGGAUGAGGAGGACGAGCUUUGGAAAGAGAUGAAGAGUUUCCAGGAAGUUGCCAGAUCUCUCUGAAUUCCACUAAUAAAGACAUUGGAAAGAAGUAGUUUAAAAGCAAAAGAUAUUCUACCAUUUUCUAAAUCUAAAAAUUAAUAAACGUGUAGACCCAGGGAUCUAGAAUAAACCUCCCAAAUUUAGCACUGACUGCACUUCCAGGUGAAAAAUAUAACAGAA